CCUACGGGCGGCUGCAGUGGGGAAUAUUGGACAAUGGGCGAAAGCCUGAUCCAGCCAUGCCGCGUGUGUGAAGAAGGCCUGCGGGUUGUAAAGCACUUUCAGUGGGGAAGAAAGCCUUCGGGCUAAUACCCUCGAGGAAGGACAUCACCCACAGAAGAAGCACCGGCUAACUCCGUGCCAGCAGCCGCGGUAAUACGGAGGGUGCGAGCGUUAAUCGGAAUUACUGGGCGUAAAGCGCGCGUAGGCGGUCUGAUAAGCCGGUUGUGAAAGCCCCGGGCUCAACCUGGGAACGGCAUCCGGAACUGUCAGGCUAGAGUGCAGGAGAGGAAGGUAGAAUUCCCGGUGUAGCGGUGAAAUGCGUAGAGAUCGGGAGGAAUAUCAGUGGCGAAGGCGGCCUUCUGGACUGACACUGACGCUGAGGUGCGAAAGCGUGGGUAGCAAACAGGACUAGAUACCCCGGUAGUC
RNAcentral lists this ribosomal RNA (465 nucleotides) under Vreelandella stevensii. RNAcentral's name for it is "partial 16S ribosomal RNA". It matches the Rfam family "Bacterial small subunit ribosomal RNA", at positions 338 to 795 of the family's 1533-position model. The record is from RNAcentral. Lineage: Bacteria; Pseudomonadati; Pseudomonadota; Gammaproteobacteria; Oceanospirillales; Halomonadaceae.